Actinia tenebrosa (Australian red waratah sea anemone) is the source of this 514-nucleotide long non-coding RNA. Lineage: Eukaryota; Metazoa; Cnidaria; Anthozoa; Actiniaria; Actiniidae. The record is from RefSeq and is a predicted model, not a curated record.
GUCUUUAAUACUUCUCUAAACAUGCUAAGUUAUACCUUUCAAUAAAUCAUAUCGAUGAAAGAACGAGAUUUACAUUGAUAGACGCCAUGUUGACAUGACUAACCGAGCCGGACUGGUGUAGAGUUUUGACCAUAUUUGGAUACGGAUUGCCAUAUUUGAAUAUCCUUGCUUGCUCUGAUUGGCUGAUUCAACAGUUCGAAUUUAGGCGGACUUUUCAUUCAGUUAUUGCAGUCGUUCUUUGUGGGUAAAGCAUGUAUGGUUCAUGGAUAAUUGUGCUUUUAAAUAGCCUAAAAUCCCCUGAGAAAAACGGGGAACAACGAACUAAUAUGUGAUACUUCAUAACCUGAGGGUAAUCUGGUAUAGAUCAACGAAUUUCCAAGAGAUUUCGCUGAGGUCUAACCUCCUGAAAACCUAACCUAACUGAUGAUGAAGUGCUGUAUUUAUAAAUCAUUAACACGAGAUGUCAAUAUUGCCUUGUAGUUUAUAGAAAAUGUGGUGUAAUUAAAGCUUAUUU